This is a non-coding RNA of Caenorhabditis elegans, 70 nucleotides long. NCBI's taxonomy places the organism in Eukaryota, Metazoa, Nematoda, Chromadorea, Rhabditida, Rhabditidae. The record is from the annotation of a RefSeq genome assembly.
GGAUUUGUGGCCUAGUGGAUAACACGGAUGACUGUCAAGCACAAGACCGGGGUUCGACUCCCCGCUGUCA